This 71-nucleotide transfer RNA is filed under the name Cordylochernes scorpioides. RNAcentral describes it as "tRNA-Ser". It matches the Rfam family "tRNA". Rfam says of the family: Transfer RNA (tRNA) molecules are approximately 80 nucleotides in length. Their secondary structure includes four short double-helical elements and three loops (D, anti-codon, and T loops). Further hydrogen bonds mediate the characteristic L-shaped molecular structure. tRNAs have two regions of fundamental functional importance: the anti-codon, which is responsible for specific mRNA codon recognition, and the 3' end, to which the tRNAs corresponding amino acid is attached (by aminoacyl-tRNA synthetases). tRNAs cope with the degeneracy of the genetic code in two manners: having more than one tRNA (with a specific anti-codon) for a particular amino acid; and 'wobble' base-pairing, i.e. permitting non-standard base-pairing at the 3rd anti-codon position. Lineage: Eukaryota; Metazoa; Arthropoda; Arachnida; Pseudoscorpiones; Chernetidae. The record is from RNAcentral.
GCAUCGGUGGUUCAGUGGUAGAAUGCUCGCCUGCUACGCAGGCGGCCCGGAUUCGAUUCCCGACCGAUGCA